RNAcentral lists this ribosomal RNA (2923 nucleotides) under Klebsiella pneumoniae. RNAcentral describes it as "23S ribosomal RNA". It matches the Rfam family "Bacterial large subunit ribosomal RNA". Lineage: Bacteria; Pseudomonadati; Pseudomonadota; Gammaproteobacteria; Enterobacterales; Enterobacteriaceae. The record is from RNAcentral.
GGGUUGUGAGGUUAAGCGACUAAGCGUACACGGUGGAUGCCCUGGCAGUCAGAGGCGAUGAAGGACGUGCUAAUCUGCGAAAAGCGUCGGUAAGGUGAUAUGAACCGUUAUAGCCGGCGAUGUCCGAAUGGGGAAACCCAGUGCAAUUCGUUGCACUAUCGUUAACUGAAUACAUAGGUUAACGAGGCGAACCGGGGGAACUGAAACAUCUAAGUACCCCGAGGAAAAGAAAUCAACCGAGAUUCCCCCAGUAGCGGCGAGCGAACGGGGAGCAGCCCAGAGUCUGAAUCAGCUUGUGUGUUAGUGGAACGGUCUGGAAAGUCCGACGGUACAGGGUGAUAGUCCCGUACACCAAAAUGCACAGGCUGUGAACUCGAAGAGUAGGGCGGGACACGUGGUAUCCUGUCUGAAUAUGGGGGGACCAUCCUCCAAGGCUAAAUACUCCUGACUGACCGAUAGUGAACCAGUACCGUGAGGGAAAGGCGAAAAGAACCCCGGCGAGGGGAGUGAAAAAGAACCUGAAACCGUGUACGUACAAGCAGUGGGAGCACCUUCGGGUGUGACUGCGUACCUUUUGUAUAAUGGGUCAGCGACUUAUAUUCUGUAGCAAGGUUAACCGUAUAGGGGAGCCGCAGGGAAACCGAGUCUUAACUGGGCGUUAAGUUGCAGGGUAUAGACCCGAAACCCGGUGAUCUAGCCAUGGGCAGGUUGAAGGUUGGGUAACACUAACUGGAGGACCGAACCGACUAAUGUUGAAAAAUUAGCGGAUGACUUGUGGCUGGGGGUGAAAGGCCAAUCAAACCGGGAGAUAGCUGGUUCUCCCCGAAAGCUAUUUAGGUAGCGCCUCGUGAACUCAUCUUCGGGGGUAGAGCACUGUUUCGGCUAGGGGGUCAUCCCGACUUACCAACCCGAUGCAAACUACGAAUACCGAAGAAUGUUAUCACGGGAGACACACGGCGGGUGCUAACGUCCGUCGUGAAGAGGGAAACAACCCAGACCGCCAGCUAAGGUCCCAAAGUCAUGGUUAAGUGGGAAACGAUGUGGGAAGGCACAGACAGCCAGGAUGUUGGCUUAGAAGCAGCCAUCAUUUAAAGAAAGCGUAAUAGCUCACUGGUCGAGUCGGCCUGCGCGGAAGAUGUAACGGGGCUAAACCAUGCACCGAAGCUGCGGCAGCGACACUAUGUGUUGUUGGGUAGGGGAGCGUUCUGUAAGCCUGCGAAGGUGUGCUGUGAGGCAUGCUGGAGGUAUCAGAAGUGCGAAUGCUGACAUAAGUAACGAUAAAGCGGGUGAAAAGCCCGCUCGCCGGAAGACCAAGGGUUCCUGUCCAACGUUAAUCGGGGCAGGGUGAGUCGACCCCUAAGGCGAGGCCGAAAGGCGUAGUCGAUGGGAAACAGGUUAAUAUUCCUGUACUUGGUGUUACUGCGAAGGGGGGACGGAGAAGGCUAUGUUAGCCGGGCGACGGUUGUCCCGGUUUAAGCAUGUAGGCUGGUUGUCCAGGCAAAUCCGGAUAAUCAAGGCUGAGGUGUGAUGACGAGGCACUACGGUGCUGAAGUAACAAAUGCCCUGCUUCCAGGAAAAGCCUCUAAGCAUCAGGUAACAUCAAAUCGUACCCCAAACCGACACAGGUGGUCAGGUAGAGAAUACCAAGGCGCUUGAGAGAACUCGGGUGAAGGAACUAGGCAAAAUGGUGCCGUAACUUCGGGAGAAGGCACGCUGGUGUGUAGGUGAAGCCCCUGCGGGUGGAGCUGAGACCAGUCGAAGAUACCAGCUGGCUGCAACUGUUUAUUAAAAACACAGCACUGUGCAAACACGAAAGUGGACGUAUACGGUGUGACGCCUGCCCGGUGCCGGAAGGUUAAUUGAUGGGGUUAUCCGUAAGGAGAAGCUCUUGAUCGAAGCCCCGGUAAACGGCGGCCGUAACUAUAACGGUCCUAAGGUAGCGAAAUUCCUUGUCGGGUAAGUUCCGACCUGCACGAAUGGCGUAAUGAUGGCCAGGCUGUCUCCACCCGAGACUCAGUGAAAUUGAACUCGCUGUGAAGAUGCAGUGUACCCGCGGCAAGACGGAAAGACCCCGUGAACCUUUACUAUAGCUUGACACUGAACAUUGAGCCUUGAUGUGUAGGAUAGGUGGGAGGCUUUGAAGCGUGGACGCCAGUCUGCGUGGAGCCAACCUUGAAAUACCACCCUUUAAUGUUUGAUGUUCUAACGUUGGCCCCUGACCGGGGUUGCGGACAGUGUCUGGUGGGUAGUUUGACUGGGGCGGUCUCCUCCCAAAGCGUAACGGAGGAGCACGAAGGUUAGCUAAUCCUGGUCGGACAUCAGGAGGUUAGUGCAAUGGCAUAAGCUAGCUUGACUGCGAGCGUGACGGCGCGAGCAGGUGCGAAAGCAGGUCAUAGUGAUCCGGUGGUUCUGAAUGGAAGGGCCAUCGCUCAACGGAUAAAAGGUACUCCGGGGAUAACAGGCUGAUACCGCCCAAGAGUUCAUAUCGACGGCGGUGUUUGGCACCUCGAUGUCGGCUCAUCACAUCCUGGGGCUGAAGUAGGUCCCAAGGGUAUGGCUGUUCGCCAUUUAAAGUGGUACGCGAGCUGGGUUUAGAACGUCGUGAGACAGUUCGGUCCCUAUCUGCCGUGGGCGCUGGAGAAUUGAGGGGGGCUGCUCCUAGUACGAGAGGACCGGAGUGGACGCAUCACUGGUGUUCGGGUUGUCAUGCCAAUGGCACUGCCCGGUAGCUAAAUGCGGAAGAGAUAAGUGCUGAAAGCAUCUAAGCACGAAACUUGCCCCGAGAUGAGUUCUCCCUGAGACUUUAAGUCUCCUGAAGGAACGUUAAAGACGAUGACGUUGAUAGGCCGGGUGUGUAAGCGCAGCGAUGCGUUGAGCUAACCGGUACUAAUGAACCGUGAGGCUUAACCUUACAACGCCGAAG